Long non-coding RNA from Oreochromis niloticus (Nile tilapia), 2207 nucleotides. RefSeq lists it as uncharacterized. NCBI's taxonomy places the organism in Eukaryota, Metazoa, Chordata, Actinopteri, Cichliformes, Cichlidae. The transcript is spliced from 6 exons. The record is from RefSeq and is a predicted model, not a curated record.
AUUUAAGAUAAACGUAACUCAAGCCAGGUGUUUUUGGUCAGAACAAGCAGUUUGUAAACUAUGCGCUGUUAUGAUAAAUCACAUUGGAUAAAGAGAAGCAAAUAAAAAUGAUGAAUACAAAAACAAUCUUAACCGUACAAGACAAGUAUAGCUUGAGUUGGGCUGUCACAAGUUUAAUUCAUAACAGUUACAUUGCCUCACCCCUGCCAUCAAACCCUUCAGUGGCUUCAAGUGUAGGCAUAGCCUCUACAGGUACUGCAGCAGAGGGAGAGCAGAGUCAGGAGGGUCUUGGAAGAAGUUCAGAAAAGAUCCAAAUAGGCAGUCUGAACAGUCUUACUUGUUUGCAGGUGGAGUAAUGCACGAAUGGAUAAAAAAGAGUGAGAGGUUAUCAGCUGUUGAGGAGCAAAUGGAGAUCCGUGUCCAGGGGAGUGAGGCUAUUGCGAGUGUGAAAGGUUGUCCAGGAAGUAACUAAGAAGACAUGAACAGAGAGGUGGUGAUCCUCAGAGGAGCGAUGAAGUAGAGCAGCCAGCACUCCAAGUAGAGCAGGCACUGUGGAAAAAUAGUUGUGACUCAACCAGACCAUUACAAAGUAUGGCCUGGAGGAUUUUCAUCUCAAGGUGCAAGAACAUUCUUAAUGACUGUACACGGCAGCUGCUGAUGGACGAUGUUGGGCCAGAUGUGCUACAGUUAGCGUUAAGGAGGUUGGAGACAAUGCAGAGAAGCCUUCGGUGGGCAAGAGGAAGACUGAUCAAUGUAACUGCAGCAGAUCAACUUCUGCGUGACUUGGCUGAAUUGAUUCAGGAGGUCGAACUGUCUACUCAGGAUGGCCAACAAGGCUGUUUUGGAUACCAGGCACCAGUGGUUUUCAACAGAGGUAGAGGAAGAUCCCUUUACCGUAUCACUCGGGAACAGCUUUCAUUCCUGAAGUCAUGUGGAUUCACUGCACCUCAGAUGGCUGAUAUUUUGAAUGUUUCACUUCGUACAAUUCGAAGACGUCUGUGACAGUAUCAUUUCACCCGUGAAUCAAAGUAUGCGGAACUGACUGACAGUGCCUUGGAUGAACAUGUGCAGGACAUUGUUGCUGGCAAUGAACAAAUUGGUCCUGAGGCUGUCAGAGCCUCCCUGCAAGUACGUGGACUACGUGUACAGCGAAGGAGGGUUUGAGCAAGCAUGUUACGGAUGAAUCCUGGAGCAGCUGCCCUUAGAGCAGUUUUGCGGAGACCAGAACGAAGAACAUAUCAGGUUGCAGGUCCAAACUCAUUGUGGCACAUUGAUGGAAAUCACAAGCUGAUAAGGUGGAGGAUAGUCAUUCAUGGGGCUAUUGAUGGAUACAGUCGUCUUGUGGUCUUCCUUCAUGCCUCAAACAACAACCGUACCAGUACCGUUUUAUCAAGUUUCAUCAGAGCCGUGGUAUCCUAUGGUGUACCCUCGAGGGUCCGGACAGACAGAGGAGGGGAAAACAAUGCUGUCUGCCUGAUGAUGAACAUUUUCAGAGGCUUUGAUCGUGGAAGUGCCCUAAGAGGAAGGAGUACCCAUAAUCAGAGAAUUGAGAGGCUCUGGGGUGAUCUGUGGUGAGGAAUGCCCAAUGUCUACUGUGAUUUAUUUCACCACCUGGAGGAGGAAGGCAUCAUUGACAUUGACAAUGAAAUGCACCUUUGGGCUCUCCAUUACAUCUAUCUCCCAAGGAUCAACAGAGAUUUGAAAGACUUCACUCAACAGUGGAACAAUCAUGGCUUGCGGACAGAGAGACACUUGAGCCCAUUACAGAUUUUGUCCGAGGCAGCCUCCAGCAACAGGGCCGAGCCUCAACUGCCAUGCAGGACAUCUUUCAGACUAGAGCAGCUGCUGCUGCUGCUGCUGGGACUAUUGGUGGGACAGCUGAUGGUAGUGUGACAGCCACUGAGAGUGAGAUGACUGCUGCUCAGGGCUUAAGUACGGACUCUGGUGGUGGUGGUGCUCAUGGUACAGAUGAGCUGGGACUGCUAGUCGACUGGCCUGAGAGGAUUAAUGUGCCAGACAUUGAAUUGACUCUGGACGGACCGAUGAUGGAGCAAGUGGUAGAACUAUUUAAUCCACUAACUGGCACCAGAGGGAGUCAUGGUAUUGAACUCAUCUCUGGCUUAAUAUACUUUCUGGACUCCACAUAUCACUGACACAGUUCAAUUAAUGACUGAAACAUAAUAGCAGCAAGUGGAAAGACUUCAAAA